GGCGGCUCGAGUGGUGGCCACUAUUACUGGGCUUAAAGCGUUCGUAGCUGGUUUGUUAAGUCUCUGGGGAAAUCUUCCGGCUUAACCGGAAGGCGUCUCAGGGAUACUGGCAGACUAGGGACCGGGAGAGGUGAGGGGUACUCCAGGGGUAGGAGUGAAAUCCUGUAAUCCUUGGGGGACCACCUGUGGCGAAGGCGCCUCACCAGAACGGCUCCGACAGUGAGGGACGAAAGCUGGGGGAGCAAACC
Molecule: ribosomal RNA, 248 nt
Filed under: uncultured euryarchaeote
Lineage: Archaea; Methanobacteriati; Methanobacteriota
Description: partial 16S ribosomal RNA
Rfam family: Archaeal small subunit ribosomal RNA
Source: RNAcentral